GUGGGGAAUAUUGCGCAAUGGGCGGAAGCCUGACGCAGCGACGCCGCGUGAGGGAUGACGGCCUUCGGGUUGUAAACCUCUUUCAGCAGGGACGAAUGUAGACGGUACCUGUAGAAGAAGCACCGGCCAACUACGUGCCAGCAGCCGCGGUAAUACGUAGGGUGCGAGCGUUGUCCGGAAUUAUUGGGCGUAAAGAGCUCGUAGGCGGUCUGUCGCGUCGAAUGUGAAAACCCGGGGCUCAACUCCGGGCUUGCAUUCGAUACGGGCAGGCUAGAGUUCGGUAGGGGAGUCUGGAAUUCCUGGUGUAGCGGUGAAAUGCGCAGAUAUCAGGAGGAACACCGGUGGCGAAGGCGGGACUCUGGGCCGAUACUGACGCUGAGGAGCGAAAGCGUGGGGAGCGAACAGGAUUAGAAACCCUAGUAGUCC
Molecule: ribosomal RNA, 426 nt
Filed under: uncultured bacterium
Lineage: Bacteria
Description: bacterial SSU rRNA
Rfam family: Bacterial small subunit ribosomal RNA
Source: RNAcentral